CCUACGGGGGGCUGCAGUAGGGAAUUUUGCGCAAUGGGCGAAAGCCUGACGCAGCAACGCCGCGUGAUCGAGACGCCCUUCGGGGUGUAAAGAUCUGUCAGUGGGGACGAAACUUGACGGUACCCACAGAGGAAGCACCGGCUAACUCCGUGCCAGCAGCCGCGGUAAUACGGGGGGUGCAAGCGUUGUCCGGAGUCAUUGGGCGUAAAGAGGUCGUAGGCGGCACGUAAAGUCAGGUGUUAAAGGCAGGGGCUCAACUUCUGUACGGCACUGGAUACUGGCGAGCUAGAAUGCGGUAGAGGUAAGGGGAAUGCCUGGUGUAGCGGUGAAAUGCUUAGAUAUCAGGAGGAACAUCGGUGGCGUAAGCGCUUUACUGGGCCGUAAUUGACGCUGAGGAACGAAAGCCAGGGGAGCAAAUGGGAUUAGAUACCCGAGUAGUC
RNAcentral lists this ribosomal RNA (440 nucleotides) under uncultured bacterium. RNAcentral describes it as "partial 16S ribosomal RNA". It matches the Rfam family "Bacterial small subunit ribosomal RNA", at positions 338 to 795 of the family's 1533-position model. The record is from RNAcentral.